ACUGAGACACGGUCCAGACUCCUACGGGAGGCAGCAGUGGGGAAUAUUGCACUAUGGGCGCAUAGUCUUGAUGCAGCCAUGCCGCGUGUAUGAAGAAGGCCUUCGGGUUGUAAAGUACUUUCAGUGGGGAGGAAGGCGAUUUGAGUUAAUAGCUUCAUCGAUUGACGUUUCCCGCAGAAGAAGCACCGGCUAUUUCCGUGCCAGCAGCCGCGGUAAUACGGAGGGUGCAAGCGUUAAUCGGAAUUACUGGGCGUAAAGCGCACGCAGGCGGUCUGUCAAGUCGGAUGUGAAAUCCCCGGGCUCAACCUGGGAACUGCAUUCGAAACUGGCAGGCUAGAGUCUUGUAGAGCGGGGUAGAAUUCCAGGUGUAGCGGUGAAAUGCGUAAGAUCUGGAGGAAUACCGGUGGCGAAGGCGGCCCCCUGGACAAAGACUGAUGCUCAGGUACGAAAAGCUGGGGGAGCAAACAGGAUUAGAUACCCUGGUAGUCCACGCCAGUAAUACGAUGUCGACUUGGAGGUUGUGCGCUUGAGGCGUGGCUUCCGCAGCUAACGCGUUAAGUCCACCGCCUGGGGAGUACGGCCUCAAGGUUAAAACUCAAAUGAAUUGACGGGGGCCCGCACAAGCGGUGGACCUUGUGGUUUUAUUCAAUGCAACGCGAAGAAC
Molecule: ribosomal RNA, 664 nt
Filed under: bacterium enrichment culture clone SaG2
Lineage: Bacteria
Description: bacterial SSU rRNA
Rfam family: Bacterial small subunit ribosomal RNA
Source: RNAcentral